CAGUACAGAAAAUCGCCGCGGCGUCGGUCCAUCUGCGGCGACCCUUGACCUCCUCCUCUCUCCACCCUCCACAGAACCCAACAAUCCGCUGAUCUCAACUGCCGGUUCCUGGGCGCCCCCGAUCCGGCGACGAUGGAUGGCGGCGGCGACGCCUUCGGGUCCUCGACGGCGCCGCUGGCCUGGCACGAUUUCCUCGAGCGCAUGCGCCAGCCCUCCGCCGCCGAGUUCGUCAGGUCCAUCAAGAGCUUUAUAUUGACUUUCUCGAGCAGAGCUCCUGAUCCAGAGCAAGAUAGUGCAUCUGUUCAAGAGUUCCAGGAAAACAUGGAAGGUGCUUUCAGAGCACACACUCCUUGGGCUGGCAGUUCAGAAGAAGAACUAGAGAGUGCUGGUGAGGGACUUGAGAAAUAUGUUAUGACAAAGCUGUUUAAUCGGGUAUUUGCUUCGGUCCCAGAAGAUGUGAAGAGUGAUGAAGAGCUUUUUGAGAAAAUGUCUUUGCUACAACAGUUUAUAAGGCCUGAAAACUUGGAUAUAAAACCAGAGUAUCAGAAUGAAACAUCUUGGCUGCUGGCGCAGAAGGAGCUGCAGAAGAUAAAUAUGUAUAAGGCUCCAAGGGAUAAGCUUUCUUGCAUCUUAAACUGCUGUAAAGUCAUCAAUAACUUACUGCUAAAUGCUUCUAUUGUAUCCAAUGAUAACCCCCCAGGAGCCGAUGAAUUCCUUCCAGUCCUCAUCUAUGUUACCAUAAAGGCUAAUCCUCCACAGCUGCACUCAAAUCUAUUAUACAUACAGAGAUAUAGACGGCAAACACGAUUGGUGUCAGAUGCUCAAUACUUUUUUACAAACAUACUGUCUGCUGAGUCUUUCAUAUGGAACAUUGAUGGGGAAUCACUGUCCAUGAAUGAGCUAGAUUUCCAAAGGAAGAUGGACUGGGCAAGAGAGCGCUUGUUGGGAUUAUCAGCUGACUCAGAAAAUCAGGAUAAUCAAGCCAAUCCUGAUGUCCAAGAGCGGAGAUCACAGAAUCUUAAAGCUAAUAGGAGUUCUGAUGUUAGCUUAUCCUUGAAAGACCCCAUCCAAGGCUCAGGACAGGACAUGAGAAGGGACAGUGAUGUGAGUGUGGGUGGUAAACCAGUUGAACGGGUGCAAUCUGUUUCUGAUUUAGAGAAUAAAGGAGCUACUGAGCUCCUCAAUCAUGAUGACUUGAACAAAAAGUUCCAGGAGUACCCGUACCUAUUUGCCCGGGCUGGUGACCUGACCAUUGCCGAUGUUGAAAGUCUCUUGAAUUCUUACAAGCAUCUAGUAGUUAGGUAUGUAGCACUUGCACAAGGUAUGGGUGUCAGCCCUGAAACCACUCUUGCUCAGAGUGGUCAAACAUCAUCUGAUCUGGUAGCAUCCGAAGAACCUGAGAAUGUGAGUAGUGUGGUAAAUAACAAUGAUAACAGUGAAGGAAUUAGCAAAACUUCUGAUGAUGUUCCAAGUGAAAACCAUCAUACGGAAGCAUCUGAACAAAUGACCCAGAAAACCGCUGUUGACCCCAGUGAUGAUCUGAAGGUAACGAAGGAUGAAGCAUUGCAUCAGGCUGAGAAUUCGUGAGCUGUUUGGUCAAAAGACCAGCUGAAUUGGGAAUACAAGGGGUCCCCAAGAUGACAAUGACCACGAAACAGAGUACAUGUUUCCCUGAGCGGUAUGCAGCAACUCUUCAAGCCACAAAUGUGCAUGCUGCAAGCUUGAAUGCAUUUAUUCUGCAUUGUGGGAGAUAAAUCCAUUCUGCUGAAGCUGUUCUUAGAUCCAAAUGCUUGUUCAUUGCAUUAUAGUUCUUGGCUCUGCUGUACACGACGUCUAUUUCAAUGGUUGGACUGAACCAAAUGCUACUUCAGCACGACAAUUCACGGACCACUAGACACGGCGUCUAUUGAAUGUAUCACAAUGCACGGAAUGAGAUUCCGAUGGUACAAUUUCGUCGGCUCAAUCAUAGGGGAUCUGGGAGAAGAAUCGAGAACUCGAGAUCUACUAAAGGUUAGUACCGCAUUAACAAUACUUUUCCUCCCCAGUUGAGCUGUGCAGAACAUGCGCACGUCUGCCUGUAGCCCCCCAAUUGCUGCGUAGUCAAUUCAAUCACCAUUCGAUUCAAGAGGCCCAGAACGGACGCGUGUAAACAAUCCGAUGUUUGUUUAUCCUAAACAAGGACUUGCUCAACAAUUUAUUGGUCACGGCAAAUACAUUGGAUUAUCUAAUCUAAUAGUAACAUGGAAUGUGCUAGCUAGGCUGCUAUAGUUAUGAAGCAGUACA
This is an RNA transcript of Panicum virgatum (switchgrass), 2283 nucleotides long. It is a transcript of the gene named vacuolar protein sorting-associated protein 9A-like, with no coding region annotated. The record is from RefSeq and is a predicted model, not a curated record. NCBI's taxonomy places the organism in Eukaryota, Viridiplantae, Streptophyta, Magnoliopsida, Poales, Poaceae. The transcript has 7 exons.